AUGGAAAUGGUUGAGUGCUCCCUGGCCGCCUCCCGCGCCGCGAGGCACGUGCCCGGCCGGGUCCCGAGGUCCCCGGCGCCGGUUCUUGGUGUUGGCGCCGGGAGAGCCAGGCUCCGGGUGCGGUCGGAGAGGCGGGAGCAGCCUCCGCCGGUCGUCAGGGCCUCCGCGCCGCCGGAGCGCGACGGUGGGGCGCUGGGGAAGGCGGCUGCGGGGCUCGCUGCCGCUGCCGUGGUGUCGCUGACCGGCUUCGCCGGGGACUUGGCCCCGCCGCCGGCGCUGGCCGAGUCGCUCACGGUCGCCUUCCCCGUCUCCAAGGCCCGAGAGGUGAACCGGGUGCAGAGGACGCUGGUGGAGGCAUGGGGGUUGAUCCGCGAGACCUUCGUCGAUCCCACCUUCAACCACCAAGACUGGGACCAGAAACUUCAGCAGACGAUGGUGGAGAUGUUCCCGCUGAAAUCAGCAGACGCCGCCUACGGCAAGAUCAGUGGGAUGGUGUCCACGCUAGGCGACCCCUUCACAAGGAUCAUCACCCCCAAGGAAUAUCAGAGUUUCAGGAUCGGAAGUGAUGGGAAUUUGCAAGGGGUUGGCAUAUUCAUAAAUAGGGACCCUGCCUCAGGACGCUUGCUUGUUAUGAACUGCAUUGAGGGAGGCCCAGCCGACCGAGCGGGCAUACGUGAAGGCGAUGAGCUAGUUGAGAUCAAUGGGAAUAGUGUUUUGGGGUUGGACGUGGAAGCUGUGGCUCAGAGACUUAGAGGUCGUGCUGGAACGACUGUGGAAGUAAAACUAUUGGAUGGUACUGGAAAUGAAAGGAGUGGUAGGAUAAAGCAAAAAGAGGUCCAGCUAUCUCGUGAGGUUAUCAAUCUUUCACCUCUAUCAACGGCAAUUAUUUCCCAUAGAUCGGGUGAUGGGCAUGAGGGCAAGACUGGGUAUGUUAGGUUAGCUGCAUUUUCUCAGACUGCUGCUGCUGAAAUGGGAAGGGCCAUUAAAAAGAUGGAAGAUCAAGGUGUCCAGUCAUAUAUUUUAGAUCUGCGGAAUAAUCCAGGUGGUUUAGUAACAGCUGGUCUUGACGUGGCUCAAAUUUGGUUAGAUGGAGAUGAAACUCUAGUGAACACCGUUGACCGUGAGGGCAAUGUGCAAGCAAUAAAUAUGGUCCAAGGCCAAUCUUUAACACAUGAUCCUCUUGUGGUGCUUGUCAACGAAGAAAGUGCCAGUGCAAGCGAAAUUUUGGCUGGGGCAUUGCAUGACAAUGGCCGUGCUAUUCUGGUAGGCCACAAAACCUUCGGUAAAGGAAGAAUACAGAGCGUGACAGAGCUGGACGAUGGCUCUGCUCUAUUCAUCACGGUUGCAAAGUAUCUCUCUCCGGCACUGCACGAAAUCGACCAUGUCGGGAUCCAACCGGACAUACAAUGCACCGCUGACGCGCUAUCGUUACCGAGAGCGCCUUCGCUCACCGGGAACAACGAGGCCGCAAGUUUGGAGAUGGACUCGUGCAUUAUGGUGGCGGAGCAGGCGUUGGAGAUUCAGCAAUCGAAGGGUUCCGCUUCGUAG
Molecule: ribosomal RNA, 1548 nt
Filed under: Triticum aestivum (bread wheat)
Lineage: Eukaryota; Viridiplantae; Streptophyta; Magnoliopsida; Poales; Poaceae
Description: partial small subunit ribosomal RNA
Source: RNAcentral